GGUUCGAUCCUGGCUCAGAUUGAACGCUGGCGGGAUGCUUUACACAUGCAAGUCGAACGGCAGCACGGACUUCUGGUCUGGUGGCGAGUGGCGAACGGGUGAGUAAUGUAUCGGAACGUGCCUAGUAGCGGGGAUAACUACGCGAAAGCGUAGCUAAUACCGCAUACCGCCCUUCGGGGAAAGCGGGGGACCUUCGGGCCUCGCAAUUAUUAGAGCGGCCGAUAUCGGAUUAGCUAGUUGGUGGCAACGGCUCACCAAGGCGACGAUCUGUAGCUGGUUUGAGAGGACGACCAGCCACACUGGGACUGGAGAUUACUGGCCUUAAUUCUACGGGAGGCAGCAGUGGGGAAUUUUGACAAUGGGGGAAACCCUGAUCCAGCCAUCCCGCGUGUGUGCGAUAAGGCCUUCGGGUUGUAAAGCACUUUGGCAGGAAAGAAACGGCACGGGAUAAUACCCCGUGCAACGACGGUACCUGCAGAAUAAGCACCUGGCUAACUACGUGCGCCAGCAGCCGCGGUAGAAUACGUGGCAAGCGUUAAUCGGAAUUACUGGGCGUAAGCGUGCGCAGGCGGUUCGGAAAGAAAGAUGUGAAAUCCAGAGCUUAACUUUGGAACUGCAUUUUUAACUACCGGUUAGGAGUGUGUCAGAUACGAGGGAGGUGGAAUUCGCGUGUAGCAGCAAAUGCGUAGAUAUGCGGAGGAACACCGAUGGCGAAGGCAGCCUCCUCGGGAUAACACUGACGCUCAUGCACGAAAGCGUAAAGAGCAAACAGGAUUAGAUACUCCCAGUAGUCCACGCCCUAAACGAUGUCACCAGCUGCUGGGGCCUUCGGGCCUUGCAGCGCAGCUAACGCGCGUAGUUGACCGCCUGGGGAGUACGGUCGCAAGAUUAAAACUCAAAGGAAUUGACGGGGACCCGCACAAGCGGUGGAUGAUGUGGAUUGUCUGAUGCAACGCGAAAAACCUUACCUACCCUUGACAUGUCUGGAAUCCCGAAGAGAUUUGGGAGUGCUCGCAAGAACCGGAACACAGGUGCUGCAUGGCUGUCGUCAGCUCGUGUCGUGAGAUGUUGUGGGGUUAAGCCCGCAACGAGCGCAACCCUUGUCAUUAGUUGCUGUCGAAAGGGCACUCUAAUGAGACUGCCGGUGACAAACCGGAGGAAGGUGGGGAUGACGUCAAGUCCUCAUGGCCCUUAUGGGUAGGGCUUCACACGUCAUACAAUGGUCGGGACAGAGGGUCGCCAACCCGCGAGGGGGAGCCAAUCCCAGAAACCCGAUCGUAGUCCGGAUCGCAGUCUGCAACUCGAUCUGCGUGGCCGAAUCGCUAGUAAUCGCGGAUCAGCAUGUCGCGGUGAAUACGUUCCCGGGUCUUGUACACACCGCCCGUCACACCAUGGGAGUGGGUUUUACCAGAAGUAGUUAGCCUAACCGUAAGGAGGGCGAUUACCACGGUAGGAUUCAUGACUGGGGUGAAGUCGUAACAGAAGGUAGCCUCUGUUACUACCUG
Molecule: ribosomal RNA, 1505 nt
Filed under: uncultured Bordetella sp.
Lineage: Bacteria; Pseudomonadati; Pseudomonadota; Betaproteobacteria; Burkholderiales; Alcaligenaceae
Description: partial 16S-23S ribosomal RNA intergenic spacer
Rfam family: Bacterial small subunit ribosomal RNA
Source: RNAcentral